CGACUGCUAAUACCGCAUAAGCCCACGGUGCCGCAUGGCACAGAGGGAAAAGGAGCAAUCCGCUUUGAGAUGGCCUCGCGUCCGAUUAGCUAGUUGGUGAGGUAAUGGCCCACCAAGGCGACGAUCGGUAGCCGGACUGAGAGGUUGAACGGCCACAUUGGGACUGAGACACGGCCCAGACUCCUACGGGAGGCAGCAGUGGGGAAUAUUGCACAAUGGGGGAAACCCUGAUGCAGCGACGCCGCGUGGAGGAAGAAGGUCUUCGGAUUGUAAACUCCUGUUGUUGAGGAAGAUAAUGACGGUACUCAACAAGGAAGUGACGGCUAACUACGUGCCAGCAGCCGCGGUAAAACGUAGGUCACAAGCGUUGUCCGGAAUUACUGGGUGUAAAGGGAGCGCAGGCGGGAAGACAAGUUGGAAGUGAAAUCUAUGGGCUCAACCCAUAAACUGCUUUCAAAACUGUUUUUCUUGAGUAGUGCAGAGGUAGGCGGAAUUCCCGGUGUAGCGGUGGAAUGCGUAGAUAUCGGGAGGAACACCAGUGGCGAAGGCGGCCUACUGGGCACCAACUGACGCUGAGGCUCGAAAGUGUGGGUAGCAAACAGGAUUAGAUACCCUGGUAGUCCACACCGUAAACGAUGAUUACUAGGUGUUGGAGGAUUGACCCCUUCAGUGCCGCAGUUAACACAAUAAGUAAUCCACCUGGGGAGUACGACCGCAAGGUUGAAACUCAAAGGAAUUGACGGGGGCCCGCACAAGCAGUGGAGUAUGUGGUUUAAUUCGACGCAACGCGAAGAACCUUACCAAGUCUUGACAUCCUGCGACGGACAUAGAAAUAUGUCUUUCCUUCGGGACGCAGAGACAGGUGGUGCAUGGUUGUCGUCAGCUCGUGUCGUGAGAUGUUGGGUUAAGUCCCGCAACGAGCGCAACCCUUAUGGUCAGUUACUACGCAAGAGGACUCUGGCCAGACUGCCGUUGACAAAACGGAGGAAGGUGGGGAUGACGUCAAAUCAUCAUGCCCUUUAUGACUUGGGCUACACACGUACUACAAUGGCGUUAAACAAAGAGAAGCAAGACCGCGAGGUGGAGCAAAACUCAGAAACAACGUCCCAGUUCGGACUGCAGGCUGCAACUCGCCUGCACGAAGUCGGAAUUGUUAGUAAUCGCAGAUCAGCAUGCUGCGGUGAAUACGUUCCCGGGCCUUGUACACACCGCCCGUCACACCAUUAGAGCCGGGGGGACCCGAAGUCGGUAGUCUAACCGCAAGGAGGACGCCGCCGAAGGUAAAACUGGUGAUUGGGGUGAAGUCGUAACAAGGUA
Molecule: ribosomal RNA, 1317 nt
Filed under: metagenome
Description: bacterial SSU rRNA
Rfam family: Bacterial small subunit ribosomal RNA
Source: RNAcentral